GACGAACGCUGGCGGCGUGCCUAACACAUGCAAGUCGAGCGGGGUUGAAGCGAGAGGUAACUCGAGCUUCUACCUAGCGGCGGACGGGUGAGUAACGCGUGGGCAACCUGCCUCAAGGUUUGGGAUAACAGCCCGAAAGGGCUGCUAAUACCGGAUAUGCCUAUGGCCUCGCAUGGGGCUAUGAGCAAAGGGGAAACCCGCCUUGAGAUGGGCCCGCGUCCCAUCAGCUAGUUGGUGAGGUAACAGCUCACCAAGGCGACGACGGGUAGCCGGCCUGAGAGGGUGACCGGCCACACUGGGACUGAGACACGGCCCAGACUCCUACGGGGGGCAGCAGUGGGGGAUCUUGCACAAUGGGCGAAAGCCUGAUGCAGCGACGCCGCGUGAGCGAAGAAGGCCUUCGGUUGUAAAGCUCUGUCUGGAGGGACGAACAAAAUAGAACGGUACCUCCGGACGGAAGCCACGGCUAACUAACGUGCCAGCAGCCGCGGUAAUCA
This 497-nucleotide ribosomal RNA is filed under the name uncultured bacterium. Its description in RNAcentral is "bacterial SSU rRNA". It matches the Rfam family "Bacterial small subunit ribosomal RNA", at positions 28 to 526 of the family's 1533-position model. The record is from RNAcentral.